RNAcentral lists this ribosomal RNA (792 nucleotides) under uncultured bacterium. Its description in RNAcentral is "bacterial SSU rRNA". It matches the Rfam family "Bacterial small subunit ribosomal RNA", at positions 703 to 1504 of the family's 1533-position model. The record is from RNAcentral.
GGAACACCAGUGGCGAAAGCGGCCUCCUGGACCACUCCUGACACUCAGACGCGAAAGCUAGGGUAGCAAACGGGAUUAGAGACCCCGGUAGUCCUAGCCCUAAACGAUGUAGACUUGGCGUCGGUGGUUUAAACGCCAUCGGUGUCGAAGCUAACGCGAUAAGUCUACCGCCUGGGGACUACGGCCGCAAGGUUAAAACCCAAAGGAAUUGACGGGUCCCCGCACAAGCAGCGGAGCGUGUGGUUUAAUUCGUUGCUACACGAAGAACCUUACCUGGGUUUGACAUAGAGGUGGUAGGGAAGCGAAAGCGGACCGACCCUUCGGGGAGCCUCUACAGGUGUUGCAUGGCUGUCGUCAGCUCGUGUCGUGAGAUGUUCGGUUAAGUCCGCUAACGAGCGCAACCCUCGCUGUGUGUUACAAGUGUCACACGGUACUGCCGGUAUUAAGUCGGAGGAAGGUGGGGAUGACGUCAAGUCAGCAUGACCUUUAUAUCCAGGGCUACACACACGCUACAAUGGUCAGUACAAUAGGUUGCCAAGCCGCGAGGCGGAGCCAAUCCUAAAAAGCUGGCCUCAGUUCAGAUUGCAGUCUGCAACUCGACUGCAUGAAGUUGGAGUUGCUAGUGACCGCAGGUCAGCUAUACUGCGGUGAAUACGUUCCCGGGGAUUGUACACACCGCCCGUCAAGUCAUGGGAGCUGGCAACACCUGAAGCCGGUAUCCUAACCCGCAAGGGAGGGAGCUGUCAAAGGUGGGGUCGGUGACUGGGACUAAGUCGUAACAAGGUAACCGUA